CACAGGCCGCCUCAUGUUGGGGACCGACGGUCGUAUCUGGGUCCCAGGGCUGGCACAGUCUGUCCUGGAGUGGCCAGGCUCAGGGCAUCAGCAGCACCGGCUUGGCCAUGGCUCGGCCAUGGCUCGUGCUCAGGAGAAGGCCGUGGAGAAGCGGGCCCCGGUCCUUCAGGGACGCCACCACAUUUUGUCACACGACGCUGCCACCGAAUCCAUAACCAGCCAAAGCACUUGCGUCUCCGCAGGGUCCAGAGGGCCCCUCCUCGCAGACACGGUGCCUUGGGAAGGUGGCGGCCACGUGGGAGUGUUGGCACAGCCCUCCCAACGAGGUGGCAGCCCGAGUGGCCGCAGGCAGGGCGCCCCUGAGGAGCAGCUCCCAGGGCUCCCGUGUUCUCGGCCGCCACAUCCCCUUCAGACCCCACCCGCGAGGCUCACGAUGCCCGUGCUUGUGGGAGGGCCGGCCCAGGAGCUGCCAGAUGCACAUCUGGUGUGGGGCCCGGUGUGGGGCCCGAUGUCAGACCCAGCAGGCGCGGCAGCCGAGGGGUCAGGGGCGGCCCUGGCGGCCUCGUGUCUGAGCGUGGAGCCCCCCUCCGUGGAAGGCGUUCGCGGUGGCUGUGGAGGACAUGCCAUCUGCUUGCUGCGUCCUGGUGGGUCCCUGGGGGUCAGGCAGUCAGACCAGAAUGAGAGACACUGGGAGAUGGUGACUUCCUGGCUGUACCAGUCGCCAGCGUCCACGGAGCACGGAGGGGCCAGGGAGGUGGUGGGCCCGGGGCAGAGUCAGCACCGACCUCCCGCCUGGCCUGGUUUCUCCGGGCGCAACGUCCAGACCUUCCGACGUCUUCCAGAGGACUUUCCGGGUCCGCUGUGGGUGCGAAGCGCGGCGUCCCCGAUCAGAGGGCACUACUCAGGGACUCGCUGGCCUCUGCAUUCUCGGCGUGAGGGUUUUGCAAAGUGAAAAGAGCAUUUUUGAUGUCUUGCUGAGUUUCCUGGACGGUCCGUCCUUGCGUGGUUGUACCGUUCCUUUGCCGCUUUGGGAACCAGACGGUCCUGGGUCACACCGCUGGUAGAGGGCCACGGCGUCCCCGCAGCGGGCAGCGGCUCAGACACCGGCCCCCCUUCCUGCCGAGCGUGUGUGCGGCCGGUCCUCAGCACUGUUUAUCCUGUCGGUGCCGCGUGGAAAUGUCAGGCAAGAACAUGCGCUAGUGAGAUGCAUUUAUUUUUAUAAUAUGUAAUAACUGGCAGCGCCCAUCUGUAUAAACAGAAUCAACCACUCUUAGAUUGUUUGGGGGGGACUGGUGCGGCUCUCUGAAGGUAAAUGUUAAACCCUAGCUCCAAAUACACAUCUCUUUGAAAAUGAGUUGUAGCUGACAUUUGCUUUGCACUGAACAAUUUUUCACUGUCUCAGCUGUUCUGGCCUCUCUGAAAAGGGUUGCAGAUCGGCUACAGAUGAGUCCCCGGGCUCUGUAGGAUUGGCCCAGUUAAUGGAUUGUCCCAGAAAACUGCUGGUCAUGGUGGACAGGGGGCUCGGGAACACUUGUGACACCAUUGGGCAGGCACACGGGAUGGGUGAAGGGGCCCGUGUUCUCCGAGCAGUGGGGAGCCCUGAGCGACCAUCUCUCUCCUCUCCCGGGGAUCAGAGCCAAUUGCUGAAAGCAUUGAAAUGCCCGGAACACCAUGUGUGUUUGCCUCGAAGUCCUUGCUGCCUGGCUGCCGUCCUGGGUGCCCAGCAGCUACAUACUUCCCGGGAGGAUGAGCUGAGCGGAGACAGUCCUCCAUCCGACAGCUGCUGCGGUGGCUCUGGUCCACGAGACGGCAAAGCCCCCAGGGUGCACAGGCUCCUCCACAGCUGCCGUGUCUGAUGCCGGGACCGCGGGGCCCUCGGCGCUGCCGGAGCCAGACCUCCUGUCUGGGGAGCUUACCACCCAGUCCAACCAGCAGAGGAGGAAAAGGGGGUGCAGGAAGGUGAGCUUGCCCCCGGUUUCACGCAGGUAAAUGGAGGAAGUGGGAUUGGCCCUUGUUUGUGGUGAAGCUUACCCUGUGUGCACUUGACAGAGUUCCUAUACUGUGAGAUGACGGGGAUGUCAACAACAUUGGAGGGGGAAAGGACAGUGUCUUCAACAGAUAGUGCUGGGGGACCCAGACCCUGACCUCACACCUCCUACGACAUUAACUCCACGUGGGUCAAAGGCCUAAAACCGUAAAACUCUUAGAAGAAAGUGCAGGGCACAAGCUUAGCAACGUUGGACUUGGCAGUGAUUUCUGGGGUAGGACACCGAAGGCACAGGCGGAAACUUAAUGUUGGUGCAUCAGACGCUAUCAUCGGGUAAAAAAAUGCAACCCAUAGAAUGGGAGAAAAUACACCUUUGACGUCUGGUAGGGGACUGACCUCGAGGAUAGGCAGAGAAACUCUAAAACUAAACAGAAACGAACCUGAUCCAAGAAGAGGCCGAAGGCUCCAGCAGGCAUUUCUGCACAGAAGAUGCACACAGGGCCCACAAGCCCCUGAAAAGAUGCUUGGCAUCGCUAACCACGUGGGAAAUGCAAAUCAAAGCUACAGUGAGAUCCCACCUGACACCCACGAGGAUGGCAAGUGUGGAAAACAAGCAAACCCAGGAGCUGGCGGGAGUGUGGAUGCAUUGGAACCCUGUGCAGCGCUGCUGGAACCUCAAAGGGCGCAGCUGCUGUGGGAAACGGGGUGGCAGUUCCGCACAACAUUACAAAUAGAAUUACCCGAUGAGCCAGUAAUUCCACUGUGGGCUUUUUUUUUUUUAAGAUUUUAUUUAUUUAUUCAUGAGCAACACAGAGAGACAGAGACACAGGCAGAGGAAGAAGCAGGCUCCCUGUGGGGAGCCCAAUGCAGGACUCGAUCCCGGGACCCCAGGACCUCGCCCUGGGCCGAAGGCAGACGCUCAACCGCUGGGCCCCCCAGGGGUUCCCUCCACUGUGGUUCUGUGCCCGAGAGAGUGGAAAGCAAAGUCCUGAAAACGCACUUCCAGGUUGACGGCCACGUCCUCCACCGUGGCUGAAUCACAGGAGCCACCCAGGGGUCCGCCGGGGGGGUGAGUGUGAUCUCGGCCUACGAGGGGCUACUGCUCAGCCUGGAGGACGGGCAUCGGGGACCCGCGGCCGCACGGGCACAUCCCGAGGACGUCGUGCUGGGUGACACGGCAGCCCAGGGGCCGGCGCUGCGGGCUUCCACUUACAGCACGUGGGCGGGGGGACGGGGCUGGGGGCAGACGGGGCUGGGGGCGGCUCUGUGCCAGGUGACGGGGCUCUGCAGGCGGACGGUGGCGCCGCUGCACGUCGCGGCGUCUUUGCCACCAGCACAUGGCACGCUCCACGAGGGUUAAGGUGGUCACGCUCAUGUCGUGUAUAUUUUACCACAAUAAAAAAAA
This 3392-nucleotide long non-coding RNA is filed under the name Canis lupus familiaris (dog). RNAcentral's name for it is "lncRNA (ENSCAFG00845016473.1)". Lineage: Eukaryota; Metazoa; Chordata; Mammalia; Carnivora; Canidae. The record is from RNAcentral.